GGCGCAGUGGCAGAGUGGUCUAAUGCGCAAGACUAGAACAUCUGGAUCUUCCCCGAUAAUUCCUGAGAUUAUCCUAGAUAUUUGAUAUCUUGUUCCUUCGGGAGCGUCUGUUCGAAUCAGGCCUGCGUCG
Molecule: non-coding RNA, 130 nt
Organism: Xylariomycetidae sp. FL2044
Lineage: Eukaryota; Fungi; Ascomycota; Sordariomycetes
Source: the annotation of a GenBank genome assembly